Molecule: long non-coding RNA, 1399 nt
Organism: Anguilla anguilla (European eel)
Lineage: Eukaryota; Metazoa; Chordata; Actinopteri; Anguilliformes; Anguillidae
Exons: 4
Source: RefSeq, a predicted model, not a curated record
GCGUCGUCCUCGCUGCCGCAGGGUAGUGUGUGUCUGCGCGCAGCCUCCUCGCCGCCGCAGGGUACUGUGUGUCUGCGCGCAGCGUCUUCACCGCCGCAGGGAAGUGUCUGAAUGUCCACAGUGUUGGAAGUAGGAUGGUAGAUCCCGGACGAGCCCCCAUUUUGUUACGGCUGGCUCGACUGGCCGCAACAAACAAAGUCCAGAUGCAUCAAAAACAAGACAGAAACUGAUCUAAAAACAAACCCAGACAUUUAUUAAUCUAAAUUACAAACAAAAACACACAAAGUUUACAAAACCAAAGCUCUCCACACAAAUCACAAACCCCAAAAGAAAAUCUCCCCUGUACAUUGAGCCCAGUGACAUCUUCAAGAUGCACUCUCAGUCUUUGGCUGUAGUCGGUGCUCAUUUAAUCAGAUCACAAAACACAAUUUGUUUAUAUAGCGCUUUUCAUGCAAGACUGCAUGAAAAGCAGCAGCAACACUGAAUACAUAAAAACGACAAAACGACAUAGAUAGGAGCUAAUUAAAUAUAUAAGAGCAGAAGUUGGCACAAAAUCCCAAAAACAGAUCGGCCCCUUUUGUGCACUCCUGCACUAGAGUAACACCACCUCAGUCAUUUUUACCUCUGCUGGAGGACUUUCCCCGGAAAGAAACGCCUGCCCCCACGUUAGCCUGUGUGAGCGAGGGUACCAUCAGCCAGGCCAGGAGCGACGGGAUCCGUUUCCGUGGAGACCAUUUCCGCCAUUCCAGAGUGAUGAGAUCCAUUUCCAUGGAGACCAUUUCCACCGUUCCGAAGUGAUGAGAUCCAUUUCCAAGGAGACCAUUUCCGCCAUUCCAGAGUGAUGAGAUCCAUUUCCAAGGAGACCAUUUCCGCCAUUCCAGAGUGAUGGGAUCCACUUCCAUGAAGAACAUUUCUACCAUUCCAGAGCGACGAGAUCCAUUUCUGCGGGGACCAUUUCCACCAUUCCAGAGUGACGAGAUCCAUUUCCGUGGAGACCAGGACGACAUAGCUCAGGAGAGUGACGGGAUCCGUUUCCGUGGAAACCAUUUCCAUCCUUCCAUGAGUGAAGAGAUCCGUUUCCGUGGAGCCAUGUGUUCGCCUGUGAGGACUGAACAUGUGGCUGUGACAUCACUUCUCUGAGAUACAACAAGGAGGAAGUGGAUAACUUACCAAAGAAUCCCAAAACACAGGAACUCCACACGGAACAAGCACAUGACAUCACAGACCCAACGCAUGACAUCACAACCAGGAUGGCAACAUCUGGACGACCAGGCUGAGACUACAGGAACCAAGCUGAGAACAUCAUAGCAGGCUCACAUGGGGACAAGCUUUCUUUCCGCCCUUUUCUCUUCCUUUCUUUUUCCUGUCCUUUAAUAAAAGGACUGGAAAUGUAAUAAAA